GAACGGCAGCACGGGAGCAAUCCUGGUGGCGAGUGGCGAACGGGUGAGUAAUAUAUCGGAACGUGCCCAGUCGUGGGGGGUAACGCAGCGAAAGCUGUGCUAAUACCGCAUACGAUCUAUGGAUGAAAGCGGGGGAUCGCAAGACCUCGCGCGAUUGGAGCGGCCGAUAUCAGAUUAGGUAGUUGGUGGGGUAAAGGCUCACCAAGCCGACGAUCUGUAGCUGGUCUGAGAGGACGACCAGCCACACUGGAACUGAGACACGGUCCAGACUCCUACGGGAGGCAGCAGUGGGGAAUUUUGGACAAUGGGCGCAAGCCUGAUCCAGCAAUGCCGCGUGCAGGAUGAAGGCCUUCGGGUUGUAAACUGCUUUUGUACGGAGCGAAAAGGCUCUCUCUAAUACAGGGGGCUCAUGACGGUACCGUAAGAAUAAGCACCGGCUAACUACGUGCCAGCAGCCGCGGUAAUACGUAGGGUGCAAGCGUUAAUCGGAAUUACUGGGCGUAAAGCGUGCGCAGGCGGUUUUGUAAGACAGAUGUGAAAUCCCCGGGCUUAACCUGGGACCUGCAUUUGUGACUGCAAAGCUGGAGUACGGCAGAGGGGGAUGGAAUUCCGCGUGUAGCAGUGAAAUGCGUAGAUAUGCGGAGGAACACCGAUGGCGAAGGCAAUCCCCUGGGCCUGUACUGACGCUCAUGCACGAAAGCGUGGGGAGCAAACA
This 715-nucleotide ribosomal RNA is filed under the name uncultured beta proteobacterium. RNAcentral describes it as "bacterial SSU rRNA". It matches the Rfam family "Bacterial small subunit ribosomal RNA", at positions 64 to 774 of the family's 1533-position model. The record is from RNAcentral. Lineage: Bacteria; Pseudomonadati; Pseudomonadota; Betaproteobacteria.